UGGGGCUGUAAAAGUUGGAUGUGGGUCGCUAUGGGUUGUUAGGGGUCACUAUGGGUCUCUGUGGGUCUCUAUGGGUCCAAUAUGGGUCUCUACGGGUACUUAUGGGUGGGAUGUGGGUCGCUAUGGGUCUCUAUGGGUUGUUAUGGGUCACUAUGGGUCUCUGUGGGUCUCUAUGGGGCUGUAAAGGUUGGAUGUGGGUCGCUAUGGGUCUCUGUGGGUCUCUAUGGGUCCCUAUGGGUGGGAUGUGGGUCGCUAUGGGUUGUUAUGGGUCACUAUGGGUCUCUAUGGGUCUCUAUGGGUGGGAUGUGGGUCACUAUGGGUCUCUAUGGGUUGUUAUGGGUCACUAUGGGUCUCUGUGGGUCCCUAUGGGUGGGAUGUGGGUCGCUAUGGGUCUCUAUGGGUCCGACGUGGGUCUCUAUGGGUCCCUAUGGGUGGGACGUGGGUCACUAUGGGUCUCUAUGGGUCUCUGUGGGUCUCUAUGGGUCCCUAUGGGUGGGAUGUGGGUCGCUAUGGGUCUCUAUGGGUUGUUAUGGGUCGCUAUGGGUCUCUAUGGGUUGUUAUGGGUCACUAUGGGUCUCUAUGGGUCCCUACGGGUGGGCUGUGGGUCGCUAUGGGUCGCCGUGGGGCAGGGAGCCGUGGUUCGAGGAGAACCGUGGGGCAGCCCUGGGCGGUGUGGGGCUGGCCGCCAGCUCGGGGCCCGGCGCCAUGAUGCAGCUGAAGGUGACGGCGCUGAUGAAGGCUGAGCUCUGCGUGAGUGGGGGGAAAGGGGGGAAAAAUGGGGAG
RNAcentral lists this long non-coding RNA (783 nucleotides) under Numida meleagris (helmeted guineafowl). RNAcentral describes it as "lncRNA (ENSNMEG00000003014.1)". Lineage: Eukaryota; Metazoa; Chordata; Aves; Galliformes; Numididae. The record is from RNAcentral.